Molecule: ribosomal RNA, 458 nt
Filed under: Paenibacillus sp. P252
Lineage: Bacteria; Bacillati; Bacillota; Bacilli; Caryophanales; Paenibacillaceae
Description: bacterial SSU rRNA
Rfam family: Bacterial small subunit ribosomal RNA
Source: RNAcentral
UGAGAGCUUGCUCCCCUGAUGCUUAGCGGCGGACGGGUGAGUAACACGUAGGCAACCUGCCUGUAAGACUGGGAUAACUACCGGAAACGGUAGCUAAUACCGGAUAAUUCACGUGGCUGCAUGGCGGCGUGAUGAAAGACGGAGCAAUCUGUCACUUACAGAUGGGCCUGCGGCGCAUUAGCUAGUUGGUGAGGUAACGGCUCACCAAGGCGACGAUGCGUAGCCGACCUGAGAGGGUGAACGGCCACACUGGGACUGAGACACGGCCCAGACUCCUACGGGAGGCAGCAGUAGGGAAUCUUCCGCAAUGGACGAAAGUCUGACGGAGCAACGCCGCGUGAGUGAUGAAGGUUUUCGGAUCGUAAAGCUCUGUUGCCAGGGAAGAACGUCCGGUAGAGUAACUGCUACCGGAGUGACGGUACCUGAGAAGAAAGCCCCGGCUAACUACGUGCCAGCAG